UGUCGCGAUGGAUCAGGCCGAUGGAAUGCGCUUCCUGCAGCGAGGCGCAAACUUGGCGCAAAAUAUGCGCCGUGCGUUCCGGCGCCACCGCGCCUUC
RNAcentral lists this transfer RNA (97 nucleotides) under candidate division BRC1 bacterium ADurb.BinA364. Its description in RNAcentral is "tRNA-Cys". Lineage: Bacteria; Candidatus Sumerlaeota. The record is from RNAcentral.